This is a non-coding RNA of Fomitopsis serialis, 85 nucleotides long. The record is from the annotation of a RefSeq genome assembly. Lineage: Eukaryota; Fungi; Basidiomycota; Agaricomycetes; Polyporales; Fomitopsidaceae.
GGUCCCAUAGUGUAGCGGUUAUCACAUCGGAUUCUGACUUUGCAGCACAAUUCCGGUAACCCAGGUUCGAUUCCUGGUAGGACCU